GGUGGGGGGAGGGGGCAGAAGAUAAUGAUUUUCCAGAUAUGAGAAGAAGAAAGAGAAGUACUGACCAUUUGACUUUUAAGAUUGCUUCUGUCCCACCACGGAAAUAAAGUACCAAAGGAUCAAGUAAAUUGAUUUUACAGGCCAAAGUCACUCAGAAUUUUUAAGUAUCAUGAUAUGGAGUUGGCUUUAUGCUUAUUUAUUAUAGAGAAUUUUCUGUUAUUUCUAGUUUAUAAUAUACUUUCACAAUGAAGAGCUCAUUCGAUUUUCACCUCUUCCCAGAAAGUCUGAGAAAAAGGAAAUGUGAGAGACUGAAGGCAAUGAGAAUUUUACAAAAUUAAUUUAUUAGAGUGUUUAUCAGAAUUUGUAAGUAUGGUACUAUAACAUUUACAUUAAUGCUUUUAGGGGUUAAGAGGAGAUUUCAAACGAAAAUCAGAAAUGUUUCACACUACAAGAAUAGUGAAUGAAAGGCAAUAAUAUAUGACAUGUGUUAUCAAAGAGCAGAGCCUUCCAAGUUGUAAAAGUUGUAUAAUGAGAAUACAGGAACAGAUGAACCACUGGAAUCAGGAUUAGGCCUUAUUAACACAACUGAUAUGCCCUAGCCUGCAAAGGUAUAUUUUCUUGUGUUACUCACUGAACAGAUAUUUUUAUUUUCCUGGUAUUCUUAGGUGGCCAUUAUUAUUGGUACUCAACCUGUGAUUACCAAUGGGUAAGAACAAAGUUUAUGAAUUCAGGAAGCUCUCAGUGACAACCAGGUCAGGGGCAAGACAAGAACAACAUUAGGAGACUCUCUGUGAAGAGGUAUGGAUACAGCUAAAACGGACUAUAAUAAGUUUGGAAUUCAACCUUACCACUCUGAUAGAUGAUCUGAGAGCUCAACUGGAAGCCUGACCGGAAGAAGAGACAUCAAGGAUUCAUUUGCACAAGGGAACAACCAUGUGAAGAGGCAACAAGGAGGUGAACAUCUGCAAGCCCAGAAGAGAAACCUCAGGAGAAAUCAGUCUUGCUGGCAUCAUGUUCUUGGACUUCCACCCUCCAGAACUAUCUUCAGGUCAAGAGAAGACCUGUCUAUCUGGGAAAUGUCAUCUACACCUUAAGCACCUUUAAACAAAGAUGUACUACUGUUGCUAUUUGUGUGGAAUUGCUUCGUGUCUGGGGUCACUGCUGUCGGAGACCUGCUUGUGAAUUUGCCAAGCAAGGAGCCAAAGAACUGGAACAACAUCUAACAAGAGGCCAGGCCUGAUAUUUGGCGUGGAAACCUGGGAGAUUCUCUGUUUUGAAGGUAAGGUGAUGGAGGGAGCAGGUGUGUUUUCUGGGGGUUGCCUUGUGACGUCGUCCAGAGUCUGGUGAGAACUGGUGAGUAGUGCGCAUGUGGUGCAAAUCCCGGAGUUCUUGUGCUUUUUGUUAUGACCCUAGGACUAAGGAAAUGGCAUUUUGGAAAUCCAA
Microcebus murinus (gray mouse lemur) is the source of this 1443-nucleotide non-coding RNA. Lineage: Eukaryota; Metazoa; Chordata; Mammalia; Primates; Cheirogaleidae. The record is from RefSeq and is a predicted model, not a curated record.